AACGAACGCUGGCGGUAUGCUUAACACAUGCAAGUCGAGGGGUAUAAGUCUUCGGACUUUGAGACCGGCGCACGGGUGCGUAACGCGUAUGCAAUCUACCUUGUACAGAGGGAUAGCCCAGAGAAAUUUGGAUUAAUACCUCAUAGUAUAUUUGAAUGGCAUCAUUUAAAUAUUAAAGUUCCAACGGUACAAGAUGAGCAUGCGUCCCAUUAGUUAGUUGGUGUGGUAACGGCACACCAAGACGAUGAUGGGUAGGGGUCCUGAGAGGGAGAUCCCCCACACUGGUACUGAGACACGGACCAGACUCCUACGGGAGGCAGCAGUGAGGAAUAUUGGUCAAUGGAGGCAACUCUGAACCAGCCAUGCCGCGUGCAGGAUGACGGUCCUAUGGAUUGUAAACUGCUUUUAUACGGGAAGAAAAAGAGUUACGUGUAACUUAUUGACGGUACCGUAAGAAUAAGGAUCGGCUAACUCCGUGCCAGCCGCCGCGGUAA
Molecule: ribosomal RNA, 494 nt
Filed under: uncultured bacterium
Lineage: Bacteria
Description: partial 16S ribosomal RNA
Rfam family: Bacterial small subunit ribosomal RNA
Source: RNAcentral